CUGAUGCAGCAACGCCGCGUGAGGGAUGACGGCCUUCGGGUUGUAAACCUCUUUUAGCAGGGAAGAAGCGAAAGUGACGGUACCUGCAGAAAAAGCACCGGCUAACUACGUGCCAGCAGCCGCGGUAAUACGUAGGGUGCAAGCGUUGUCCGGAAUUAUUGGGCGUAAAGAGCUCGUAGGCGGUUUGUCGCGUCUGCUGUGAAAACGCGAGGCUCAACCUCGCGCCUGCAGUGGGUACGGGCAGACUUGAGUGCGGUAGGGGAGAUUGGAAUUCCUGGUGUAGCGGUGGAAUGCGCAGAUAUCAGGAGGAACACCGAUGGCGAAGGCAGAUCUCUGGGCCGUUACUGACGCUGAGGAGCGAAAGCGUGGGGAGCGAACAGGAUUAGAUACCCUGGUAGUCCACGCCGUAAACGUUGGGAACUAGAUGUGGGGUCCAUUCCACGGAUUCCGUGUCGCAGCUAACGCAUUAAGUUCCCCGCCUGGGGAGUACGGCCGCAAGGCUAAAACUCAAAGGAAUUGACGGGGGCCCGCACAAGCGGCGGAGCAUGCGGAUUAAUUCGAUGCAACGCGAAGAACCUUACCAAGGCUUGACAUAUACCUGCAAAGGCUGGAAACAGUCUCCUCGCAAGACAGG
Molecule: ribosomal RNA, 634 nt
Filed under: Amnibacterium sp. Ri2Ps_4905
Lineage: Bacteria; Bacillati; Actinomycetota; Actinomycetes; Micrococcales; Microbacteriaceae
Description: bacterial SSU rRNA
Rfam family: Bacterial small subunit ribosomal RNA
Source: RNAcentral